RNAcentral lists this ribosomal RNA (369 nucleotides) under Clostridioides difficile. Its description in RNAcentral is "partial 23S ribosomal RNA". It matches the Rfam family "Bacterial large subunit ribosomal RNA", at positions 1110 to 1486 of the family's 2925-position model. Lineage: Bacteria; Bacillati; Bacillota; Clostridia; Peptostreptococcales; Peptostreptococcaceae. The record is from RNAcentral.
AAGCAGCCACUCAUUCAAAGAGUGCGUAAUAGCUCACUGGUCGAGUGAUCCUGCGCCGAAGAUUUCCGGGGCUAAAACUUACUACCGAAGCUACGGCAUCAUUAUGAUGGGUAGGGGAGCUUCCCAUACGGGUUGAAGCAUGACCGUAAGGACAUGUGGACAGUAUGGGAGUGAGAAUGUUGGCAUGAGUAGCGAGAUGUGGGUGAGAAUCCCACAGGCCGUAAACCCAAGGUUUCCAGGGGAAGGUUCGUCCGCCCUGGGUUAGUCGGGACCUAAGCUGAGGCCGAAAGGCGUAGGUGAUGGACAACAGGUUGAUAUUCCUGUACUACCGAUAACCGUUUGAGAGAUGGGAUGACACAGUAGGAUAAG